RNAcentral lists this long non-coding RNA (849 nucleotides) under Nicotiana benthamiana. Its description in RNAcentral is "long non-coding RNA (NBEN_LNC027084)". The record is from RNAcentral. Lineage: Eukaryota; Viridiplantae; Streptophyta; Magnoliopsida; Solanales; Solanaceae.
GCAUGGAAGACCAAUCUUGUAGUUCACUUUUUCCCACAAGGCCAUAGCAGAACAGAAAGGUCGUAAAACCCUUCGGAAUUGGCAAGUUGGAUUUUUCUUCUCAAAUUCUUGAAUCUUGAUUACAAAUAUCCUCUUACCAACCUAACUUGCAUUUUGAAGUUGGCUUUUUCUAUUAUGGUUUUUUAGGCCUCUACAACUCUAUUUUUAUUUUUAUUUUGGGCUUGUUUCCUCUUUUUUACAUCAUUUCAUGGCAUGACAGCUGUCUUGAUUUUGCUCUAGGUAUAUAUAGUGUUUUGUUAGAUCUAUUACGCUUAGGCUUUUACCGAAGAUUUCUACUUCUACGACACGGUUUCAAAUGAGGUGCAAUAUUUGCAUAUAAAAGAACGUUUAAAAGGAAAACGAAGGCCUUAAAAUACUUAUAACAUUUGCUCUUAUCACUAGAAAAUAGCCAUUUGCUCUUAUCACUUUAAUGUUAGACGAACGAUAUAUGUACUUGCAUCUCAACUGACUCAAAGUUUGCGAACCUAAGCAUUGCGGUAUAUGGGCUAUACCCGUGCAUGUUAGGCCCGCCAAGGCCAACCACCACCUCGUCAAUUGCAUUUCGGUUCACUCCAACGCCUGUAACCGAUUCUAAAGGGACAAGAAGCACGUCCGAUAACCUUCGCAUUUGUCCAGAAAAGACUACAAGAGGAGAUAUCGACCCUAACGAUUGAAUUUGUUAAAGGACUAACCAGAUGAUAUGACCUACCGAUUAUUUUGAGUAUUUGAACCUUGUUUCUGUAUUUUAUGCUUUUUAUAUGUGUAUUUAAUAAUUUGUGACUUGCGGAGAUUGGUGAUUUUAUUUUUUGG